Oreochromis aureus is the source of this 136-nucleotide long non-coding RNA. RefSeq lists it as uncharacterized. NCBI's taxonomy places the organism in Eukaryota, Metazoa, Chordata, Actinopteri, Cichliformes, Cichlidae. The record is from RefSeq and is a predicted model, not a curated record. The transcript is spliced from 3 exons.
CAAGGCCCCAGUGGACUAACAGGAAGUAAAGGAUUUAAGGGUACAAGAGGAGAGGAGGGACCAAAAGGAAUACAAGGCCCCCGAGGAGAGAUGGGCAUGCCUGGACCACAGGGAUACAGAGGACAUCCUGUAAGAU